This 464-nucleotide ribosomal RNA is filed under the name uncultured bacterium. Its description in RNAcentral is "partial 16S ribosomal RNA". It matches the Rfam family "Bacterial small subunit ribosomal RNA", at positions 339 to 795 of the family's 1533-position model. The record is from RNAcentral.
CUACGGGAGGCAGCAGUGGGGAAUAUUGCACAAUGGGCGCAAGCCUGAUGCAGCCAUGCCGCGUGUAUGAAGAAGGCCUUCGGGUUGUAAAGUACUUUCAGCGGGGAGGAAGGGAGUAAAGUUAAUACCUUUGCCCAUUGACGUUACCCGCAGAAGAAGCACCGGCUAACUCCGUGCCAGCAGCCGCGGUAAUACGGAGGGUGCAAGCGUUAAUCGGAAUUACUGGGCGUAAAGCGCACGCAGGCGGUUUGUUAAGUCAGAUGUGAAAUCCCCGGGCUCAACCCGGGAACUGCAUCUGAUACUGGCAAGCUUGAGUCUCGUAGAGGGGGGUAGAAUUCCAGGUGUAGCGGUGAAAUGCGUAGAGAUCUGGAGGAAUACCGGUGGCGAAGGCGGCCCCCUGGACGAAGACUGACGCUCAGGUGCGAAAGCGUGGGGAGCAAACAGGAUUAGAUACCCUUGUAGUC